This 405-nucleotide ribosomal RNA is filed under the name uncultured bacterium. RNAcentral's name for it is "partial 16S ribosomal RNA". It matches the Rfam family "Bacterial small subunit ribosomal RNA", at positions 28 to 526 of the family's 1533-position model. The record is from RNAcentral.
GACGAACGCUGGCGGCGUGCUUAACACAUGCAAGUCGAGCGGAGCGGCGAACGGGUGAGUAACGCGUGAGUAACUGCCCCCCUCUCUGGGAUAACAGUUGGAAACGGCUACUAAUACCGGAUAGUGGGGGAUGACUCGCGUCCUAUCAGCUUCUUGGUGGGGUAGUGGCCUACCAAGGCGACGACGGGUAGCCGGCCUGAGAGGGCGACCGGCCACAAUGGGCUGCGAUACGGCCCAAUAGCGUACGGGAGGCAGCAGUGGGGAAUAUGGCACAACGGGGGAAACCGUGAUGUAGCAACGCCGCGUGCGGGAUGACGGCCUUCGGGUGGUAAACAGCUUUCAGCCAUGACGCGGUAGUGGCAGAAGAAGCACCGGCUAACUACGUGCCAGCAGCCGCGGUAAUAC